This 253-nucleotide ribosomal RNA is filed under the name uncultured bacterium. RNAcentral describes it as "partial 16S ribosomal RNA". It matches the Rfam family "Bacterial small subunit ribosomal RNA", at positions 524 to 776 of the family's 1533-position model. The record is from RNAcentral.
UACGGAGGGUGCAAGCGUUAUCCGGAUUCACUGGGCUUAAAGGGUGCGUAGGCGGGCAGGUAAGUCAGUGGUGAAAUCUCCGAGCUUAACUCGGAAACUGCCUUUGAUACUAUCUGUCUUGAAUAUGGUGGAGGUAAGCGGAAUAUGUCAUGUAGCGGUGAAAUGCUUAGAGAUGACAUAGAACACCUAUUGCGAAGGCAGCUUACUACGCCUAUAUUGACGCUGAGGCACGAAAGCGUGGGGAUCAAACAGG